UACGUAGGGUGCAAGCGUUGUUCGGAAUCAUUGGGCGUAAAGCGAGUGCAGGCCGUUAGUUAAGUCGGGUGUGAAAUCCCUGGGCUCAACCGAGGAAGUGCAUCCGAAACUAACUAGCUAGAGAAUGGUAGAGGAAGGUGGAAUUCCAAGUGUAGAGGUGAAAUUCGUAGAUAUUUGGAGGAAUACCGGAGGCGAAGGCGGCCUUCUGGACCAUUUCUGACGC
RNAcentral lists this ribosomal RNA (223 nucleotides) under uncultured bacterium. RNAcentral describes it as "partial 16S ribosomal RNA". It matches the Rfam family "Bacterial small subunit ribosomal RNA", at positions 524 to 746 of the family's 1533-position model. The record is from RNAcentral.